Molecule: ribosomal RNA, 396 nt
Filed under: uncultured bacterium
Lineage: Bacteria
Description: partial 16S ribosomal RNA
Rfam family: Bacterial small subunit ribosomal RNA
Source: RNAcentral
AUACGUAGGGGGCGAGCGUUGUCCGGAAUGAUUGGGCGUAAAGGGCGCGUAGGCGGCCCGGUAAGUCUGGAGUGAAAGUCCUGUUUUUAAGAUGGGAAUUGCUUUGGAUACUGUCGGGCUUGAGUGCAGGAGAGGUAAGUGGAAUUCCCAGUGUAGCGGUGAAAUGCGUAGAGAUUGGGAGGAACACCAGUGGCGAAGGCGACUUACUGGACUGUAACUGACGCUGAGGCGCGAAAGUGUGGGGAGCAAACAGGAUUAGAUACCCUGGUAGUCCACACUGUAAACGAUGAAUGCUAGGUGUAGGGGGUAUCGACCCCUUCUGUGUCGCAGUCAACACGAUAAGCAUUCCGCCUGGGGAGUACGGCCGCAAGGUUGAAACUCAAAUGAAUUGACGGG